RNAcentral lists this ribosomal RNA (253 nucleotides) under uncultured bacterium. RNAcentral describes it as "partial 16S ribosomal RNA". It matches the Rfam family "Bacterial small subunit ribosomal RNA", at positions 524 to 776 of the family's 1533-position model. The record is from RNAcentral.
GACGGAGGGUGCUAGCGUUGUUCGGAAUUACUGGGCGUAAAGGGCGCGUAGGCGGCCCUGUCAGUCGGGUGUGAAAGCCCGGGGCUCAACCCCGGAACGGCACCCGAGACGGCAGGGCUGGAGACCGGGAGAGGAGGGUGGAAUAGCCAGUGUAGAGGUGAAAUUCGUAGAUAUUGGAUGGAACACCGGUGGCGAAAGCGGCUCUCUGGCCCGGUUCUGACGCUGAGGCGCGAAAGCGUGGGGAGCAAACGGG